CCAACGGCCCUCUUUAGGGCCACAAAUUAUCAUUAAAACUUCUG
Molecule: non-coding RNA, 44 nt
Organism: Steinernema glaseri
Lineage: Eukaryota; Metazoa; Nematoda; Chromadorea; Rhabditida; Steinernematidae
Source: Rfam